Polyodon spathula (Mississippi paddlefish) is the source of this 1113-nucleotide long non-coding RNA. RefSeq lists it as uncharacterized. Lineage: Eukaryota; Metazoa; Chordata; Actinopteri; Acipenseriformes; Polyodontidae. The record is from RefSeq and is a predicted model, not a curated record. The transcript has 2 exons.
UUUUUAUGAUGUACGAAACACUAUGCUUAAAGAGCAAUUUUUUUGGUACUUUAUUGUGUUUAGUUUAGGUCAGUGUUGUCUUCCAAAUAAAUAGGAUUUAAAGCAUAAAUGAUUUUGACUUUUGAAAAAUAAUUGUAUUAAAACAACAGUUUUAUUUUUCAUUCUGAGCCAGUUCAAUUAUGUGUAAAUUCAUGUUGUUUCUCUUCUUUUUUAUUGUUUAAAUCUGUUGAGUGGAUGAGCUCAGAUUUAAAUUCUAAAGGCACGUUUAUUGUAACAAAGAAGUUAUGUAUUAAUACUUAGAUUUUCAAUAAAGAUUGACUUGUGUUGCUUAUUUGAGUUAUGUAGUUUUUUAAAAAAUAAUUUAUUAUUCGUCAUGGAAAUUAGUGUAACAUUAAAACCCUUUGGUGUGAAUUGGAGACAAGUUGCAUGUAGAGAGUUACUAUGAAUGUCAGCAGAGCAACAGAUAUUCAUUAUACACAAACACUUGCAGUGUGUUUCAUGCAUGCACCAAUUACACUACUGUGUUUGAUCUAGCUACUUUGCAAUGUGGACAAUUCAAAGCUGUCAUACUCACAAUGUGGAAUUACCAUAGUAGGAAGUGUUUUGAAUUUCCAGGGUUAACCGGCAUCCUAUAGGUAGUCAACAGAAAUCGCUUCCCAUCUUGGUCAACCAAACACACUGGAUCGAAGGUGAAAUAGGGAGAAUAGCUCCUCUCUAGUAUCACGCUACAGUGGUAACUGGAACUAAACCAAGGCUACUUGUCUAGCAUUUAAUCAAUUUUAAAAUACAUUGGGAUUCAGAUUACAAAUUAAUUUAUGAAGGUAAAACUACCUGCCCCAGAGCUCAGAGGUUCAGAAAUGUUUACUGCAUAGGGAAAUGCUACUGGGUAGAAUAUAAUUUACUAAACCAAUAAUUCUACCCAGAAUUCUUUACCAAUUGACCCGAUUCCUGUCAACAACUCCAAAUCAAACAUUUGUGUUUAAGACAAAUAUCAGGGCUUUUCUUGGCAAGGGUUCUCUGCCCAAAAUAAAUGACUCCAAGGGUCAAUUGCAGCAUCCAGUGGUUUAGUUUACAUCAAGUGGACUAACUUCUGGACUAGAAAAUCUCAAAGAA